UUGAAGAGAAUUAAUUAAAACCUAAAUGCGGCAGAUGUGAGGGGAACCAGGCUUGCUACAGUAACUGCAGUGACAGAACUGGAUUAACUUCAGAUCCUACUGAGGUUGCCUAUUCUAUCCUAGUACAGGG
Molecule: small nucleolar RNA, 130 nt
Organism: Sorex araneus (European shrew)
Lineage: Eukaryota; Metazoa; Chordata; Mammalia; Eulipotyphla; Soricidae
Source: Ensembl